RNAcentral lists this ribosomal RNA (497 nucleotides) under uncultured bacterium. RNAcentral's name for it is "partial 16S ribosomal RNA". It matches the Rfam family "Bacterial small subunit ribosomal RNA", at positions 28 to 507 of the family's 1533-position model. The record is from RNAcentral.
GAUGAACGCUGGCGGCGUGCCUAAUACAUGCAAGUCGAGCGAACAGACGAGGAGCUUGCUCCUCUGACGUUAGCGGCGGACGGGUGAGUAACACGUGGAUAACCUACCUAUAAGACUGGGAUAACUUCGGGAAACCGGAGCUAAUACCGGAUAAUAUAUUGAACCGCAUGGUUCAAUAGUGAAAGACGGUUUUGCUGUCACUUAUAGAUGGAUCCGCGCCGCAUUAGCUAGUUGGUAAGGUAACGGCUUACCAAGGCGACGAUGCGUAGCCGACCUGAGAGGGGGGACGGCCACCCUGGGACUUGGGAACGGGCCCAGCUCCCUAGGGGAGCCACAGGUGGGGAUCCUCCGGAAUGGGCCGAAGCUUGGCGGGGCAACGGCGCCGUGGUGAUGGAGGGCUUCCGGUCGGUAAACCUUUUUUAUAGGGGAAGACAAAUUGUGUAAUUACUAAGCACGGCUUUACCGUUCCUUAUCAAGAAGGCACGGCUUACUACCGU